GGUUGCGACCAUGUCACGUUGACAGCACGCCAUACCGUCCGAUCUGGCAAGUUUGGUAACGUUGGGCAUGGUUAGUGUCUGGAUCGGAGACCGUUUGGAGAAUUUGAGUGUCGCGAGAU
This 119-nucleotide ribosomal RNA is filed under the name Ancylostoma duodenale. Lineage: Eukaryota; Metazoa; Nematoda; Chromadorea; Rhabditida; Ancylostomatidae. The record is from RNAcentral.